This 468-nucleotide ribosomal RNA is filed under the name uncultured bacterium. RNAcentral's name for it is "partial 16S ribosomal RNA". It matches the Rfam family "Bacterial small subunit ribosomal RNA", at positions 28 to 507 of the family's 1533-position model. The record is from RNAcentral.
GACGAACGCUGGCGGCGUGCUUAACACAUGCAAGUCGAACGGAAAGGCCCUGCUUUUGUGGGGUGCUCGAGUGGCGAACGGGUGAGUAACACGUGAGUAACCUGCCCUUGACUUUGGGAUAACUUCAGGAAACUGGGGCUAAUACCGGAUAGGAGCUCCUGCUGCAUGGUGGGGGUUGGAAAGUUUCGGCGGUUGGGGAUGGACUCGCGGCUUAUCAGCUUGUUGGUGGGGUAGUGGCUUACCAAGGCUUUGACGGGUAGCCGGCCUGAGAGGGUGACCGGCCACAUUGGGACUGAGAUACGACCCAGACUCCUACUGGAGGCAGCAGUGAUGAAUAUUACACAAUGGGCGGAAGCCUGAUGCAGCAACGCCGCGUGCGGGAUGACGGCCUUCGGGUUGUAAACCGCUUUCGCCUGUGACGAAGCGUGAGUGACGGUAAUGGGUAAAGAAGCACCGGCUAACUACGUG